RNAcentral lists this transfer RNA (143 nucleotides) under Candidatus Woesearchaeota archaeon. RNAcentral's name for it is "tRNA-Leu". It matches the Rfam family "tRNA". From Rfam's summary of the family: Transfer RNA (tRNA) molecules are approximately 80 nucleotides in length. Their secondary structure includes four short double-helical elements and three loops (D, anti-codon, and T loops). The record is from RNAcentral. Lineage: Archaea; Nanobdellati; Candidatus Woesearchaeota.
GCCGGCGUAGACCAACCCGGUAAGUCGCUAGAUUCAGACUCUAGUGCCCGAAAGGUCACAAAAACAUAUAAAUCUGAUGUUUUUGGGACUCCUGAAAACAUUGGUUUUCAUGAGGUUUAAGGGUUCAAAUCCCUGCGCCGGCG